GGAAUCUUCCGCAAUGGGCGAAAGCCUGACGGAGCAACGCCGCGUGAGUGAAGAAGGUCUUCGGAUCGUAAAGCUCUGUUGUCGGGGACGAAUGUGCGAGAUGCGAAUAGUUUCUUGCAAUGACGGUACCUGACGAGGAAGCCACGGCUAACUACGUGCCAGCAGCCGCGGUAAUACGUAGGUGGCGAGCGUUGUCCGGAAUUAUUGGGCGUAAAGGGAGCGCAGGCGGGAAGGUAAGUCGGUCUUAAAAGUGCGGGGCUCAACCCCGUGAUGGGAUCGAAACUAUCUUUCUUGAGUGCAGGAGAGGAAAGCGGAAUUCCUAGUGUAGCGGUGAAAUGCGUAGAUAUUAGGAGGAACACCAGUGGCGAAGGCGGCUUUCUGGACUGUAACUGACGCUGAGGCUCGAAAGCGUGGGGAGCGAACA
RNAcentral lists this ribosomal RNA (424 nucleotides) under uncultured Selenomonas sp. RNAcentral's name for it is "bacterial SSU rRNA". It matches the Rfam family "Bacterial small subunit ribosomal RNA", at positions 358 to 774 of the family's 1533-position model. The record is from RNAcentral. Lineage: Bacteria; Bacillati; Bacillota; Negativicutes; Selenomonadales; Selenomonadaceae.